UAAUACAAGUGUCAAAAGCAUAAAAUUCUGUGUAAGCUUGCUUGCAAAAGAAUUUAUUAUCUUUUGACAAGAAAAAAUGGGUAAGUAGCCGUUUUUUGCAAAAAAAUGAGCGGAUUACGAAUAUUUUUGCAAGAACCCUGAGAAGCGAAGUUCCUGCAAUCCUGUAUCA
This 169-nucleotide small RNA is filed under the name Catonella morbi ATCC 51271. Its description in RNAcentral is "Clostridiales-1 RNA". It matches the Rfam family "Clostridiales-1 RNA". Lineage: Bacteria; Bacillati; Bacillota; Clostridia; Lachnospirales; Lachnospiraceae. The record is from Rfam by way of RNAcentral.